AAGAUAGCUGGGAGAAAAAGAGCGAUAAUUCCGAAAUAAAAACGAAAGCAAAAACAAACAAACACUUUUAGAUUGCGUUCAUUGGACUAAAAAUGAAGAUAAAAACAAGCAGUUCUAUGGUAUAGAGAUCGGUAUCGAUGACUCUAAUGUGUUGCCGGAUCAUAAUUCUGACAAAUCUUUUUUUGCUGAUGACAUUGAUGACUCCCAAAAAACAUCAUCACCUUUAUAAAAAAUCUGUUGGAUUUUGUAAUUGAUCGUCAUAAUGACCAACAAAUAUGUAAAAGUAAUCUUUCUCUACAAACUCGACCAACCUCUAACGAUCCUGCAUUAUGGAAAUCAAUAUCAGACGCUGAUCAAUCAACUAUAAUUUUGAUGGGACCUUUUUCAAAUCCCAGCAAUUUUCCAAGAGAUAAAAAAGAAUGCAAAUUCUCUACUUAAAUCUUUAUAGAAGAAUAAAGAUACAGAGAAAAAGUUAGAGAUUGGCUCGUUUAGAGUAAGGCUGUGGAAUCACUCUUUUGUUUCAAUUUUUUGCCUAAUUUAACCAGAAAUAUCGAAUAAUAUAUAUUGAAAUAAAAACAACUUGUGUUUAAUCCAGUUUGUUGUCUUGGAACGGAGGUUAGAACAUGGAAAUAGAAGAAAACUUUCAGAUUGCAUUAAAAGUCAUCAACAUAUUCACCAUAACUAUUAUCUUGAAUGGAAAACAGCUCACUUUAAAAGUCAAAAGUCCAUUGAUCAUCAAUUAAAAAAAUAAAUUGGAGAUGAAACUAAGCGAUGGAAAGUAAUUUUACAAUGCAUUUUUGAUGUCACAAUUUUUCUAGCUUCAAGAGAUCUAGCUUUUAGGGUUUGCGAUUAGGACCCAAUUAAAAGUUGUUCAAAAAUAGGAAUAGAAACUUCCUUGGAGCGCUCGAAUUAAUUGCUCCCCACAACCAAGCAUUACAAGAUCAUAAGCAUCUUAUUGCUAAGUACCAAGAAAAAAAACGCAAGCAAGCUCAUUACUUGACCUAGAAAUCACAGAUUUAUUGAUGAGUAUGGCGAAUUAGUGGUUCAAGAAGUUAAUCAAGAAAUCAAAAAAUCAAUAAAUUUCACCAUCAUCACGGCCAGCACACAAUUUGUCCUACAUAAGAAAUUUUGCUUGAUUUUGUUCUAUAUGUUUACUUUUAUGUAUAUAUUUUCAACUAUCUUUUUAACUAAUUUUUAUGUAUUGAUAGUUUUAAACCUUUAAGGUUUGAAAACAACUUCAUUUUAUAUAAAUUACAUUUUCAUCUCAU
This is a non-coding RNA of Hydra vulgaris (swiftwater hydra), 1268 nucleotides long. Lineage: Eukaryota; Metazoa; Cnidaria; Hydrozoa; Anthoathecata; Hydridae. The record is from RefSeq and is a predicted model, not a curated record.